UAAGCGGAGGAAAAGAAACUAACAAGGAUUCCCCUAGUAACGGCGAGUGAAGCGGGAAGAGCUCAAAUUUGAAAUCUGGUGGCCUCAGGUCAUCCGAGUUGUAAUCUAUAGAAGUGUUUUCCGUGCUGGCUCAUGUACAAGUCCCUUGGAACAGGGCGUCAUAGAGGGUGAGAAUCCCGUCCUUGACAUGAACUACCAGUGCUCUGUGAUACAUUUUCAACGAGUCGAGUUGUUUGGGAAUGCAGCUCAAAAUGGGUGGUAAAUUCCAUCUAAAGCUAAAUAUUGGCGAGAGACCGAUAGCGAACAAGUACCGUGAGGGAAAGAUGAAAAGCACUUUGGAAAGAGAGUUAAACAGUAUGUGAAAUUGUUGAAAGGGAAACGAUUGAAGUCAGUCGUGCUCUUUGGAUUCAGCCGGUUCUGCCGGUGUACUUCCUUUGAGUGGGGUCAACAUCAGUUUUGAUCGCUGGAUAAAGGCGGGAGGAAUGUAGUACCCUCGGGUAAACUUAUAGCCUCUUGUCACAUACAGUGGUUGGGACUGAGGAACGCAGCAUGCCUUUAUGGCCGGGAUUCGUCCACGUACAUGCUUAGGAUGUUGACAUAAUGGCUUUAAACGACCCGUCUUGAAACAC
This 629-nucleotide ribosomal RNA is filed under the name Filobasidium oeirense. Its description in RNAcentral is "eukaryotic LSU rRNA". It matches the Rfam family "Eukaryotic large subunit ribosomal RNA", at positions 47 to 662 of the family's 3401-position model. The record is from RNAcentral. Lineage: Eukaryota; Fungi; Basidiomycota; Tremellomycetes; Filobasidiales; Filobasidiaceae.